This 424-nucleotide ribosomal RNA is filed under the name uncultured bacterium. RNAcentral's name for it is "bacterial SSU rRNA". It matches the Rfam family "Bacterial small subunit ribosomal RNA", at positions 355 to 796 of the family's 1533-position model. The record is from RNAcentral.
UGGGGAAUAUUGGACAAUGGGCGCAAGCCUGAUCCAGCCAUGCCGCGUGAGUGAUGACGGCCUUAGGGUUGUAAAGCUCUUUCGACGGGGACGAUAAUGACGGUACCCGUAGAAGAAGCCCCGGCUAACUUCGUGCCAGCAGCCGCGGUAAUACGAAGGGGGCUAGCGUUGUUCGGAAUCACUGGGCGUAAAGCGCACGUAGGCGGAUUGUUAAGUCGGGGGUGAAAUCCUGAGGCUCAACCUCAGAACUGCCUUCGAUACUGGCAAUCUCGAGUCCGGAAGAGGUUGGUGGAACAGCUAGUGUAGAGGUGAAAUUCGUAGAUAUUAGCUAGAACACCAGUGGCGAAGGCGGCCAACUGGUCCGGUACUGACGCUGAGGUGCGAAAGCGUGGGGAGCAAACAGGAUUAGAUACCCGCGUAGUCC